This 569-nucleotide ribosomal RNA is filed under the name uncultured bacterium. RNAcentral describes it as "partial 16S ribosomal RNA". It matches the Rfam family "Bacterial small subunit ribosomal RNA", at positions 355 to 914 of the family's 1533-position model. The record is from RNAcentral.
UGGGGAAUAUUGGACAAUGGGCGCAAGCCUGAUCCAGCAAUGCCGCGUGUGUGAAGAAGGCCUUCGGGUUGUAAAGCACUUUUAUCAGGAGCGAAACGCUGUCGGCUAAUACCCGGCGGAACUGACGGUACCUGAGGAAUAAGCACCGGCUAACUUCGUGCCAGCAGCCGCGGUAAUACGAAGGGUGCAAGCGUUAAUCGGAAUUACUGGGCGUAAAGCGUGCGUAGGCGGUUUCUUAAGUCUGCUGUGAAAUCCCCGGGCUCAACCUGGGAAUGGCAGUGGAUACUGGGAGGCUAGAGUGUGUCAGAGGGUGGUGGAAUUCCCGGUGUAGCGGUGAAAUGCGUAGAGAUCGGGAGGAACAUCAGUGGCGAAGGCGGCCACCUGGGACAACACUGACGCUGAGGCACGAAAGCGUGGGGAGCAAACAGGAUUAGAUACCCUGGUAGUCCACGCCCUAAAGCGAUGCGAACUGGAUGUUGGUCUCAACUCGGAGAUCAGUGUCGAAGCUAACGCGUUAAGUUCGCCGCCUGGGGAGUACGGUCGCAAGACUGAAACUCAAAUGAAUUGAC